RNAcentral lists this ribosomal RNA (460 nucleotides) under uncultured bacterium. RNAcentral's name for it is "partial 16S ribosomal RNA". It matches the Rfam family "Bacterial small subunit ribosomal RNA", at positions 338 to 795 of the family's 1533-position model. The record is from RNAcentral.
CCUACGAGAGGCAGCAGUGAGGAAUAUUGGUCAAUGGGCGCGAGCCUGAACCAGCCAAGUAGCGUGAGGGAUGAAGGUUCUAUGGAUCGUAAACCUCUUUUAUAAGGGAAUAAAGUGCGGGACGUGUCCCGUCUUGUAUGUACCUUAUGAAUAAGGAUCGGCUAACUCCGCGCCAGCAGCCGCGGUAAUACGGAGGAUCCGAGCGUUAUCCGGAUUUAUUGGGGUUAAAGGGUGCGUAGGCGGCAUUUUAAGUCAGCUGUGAAAGUCUGUGGCUCAACCAUAGAAUUGCCGUUGAAACUGGGAGGCUUGAGUAUGUGUGAGGCAGGCGGAAUGUGUGGUGUAGCGGUGAAAUGCUUAGAUAUCACGCAGAACCCCGAUUGCGAAGGCAGCCGGCCAAGCCAUGACUGACGCUGAUGCACGAAAGCGUGGGGAUCAAACAGGAUGAGAUACCCGAGUAGUC